Molecule: ribosomal RNA, 468 nt
Filed under: uncultured bacterium
Lineage: Bacteria
Description: partial 16S ribosomal RNA
Rfam family: Bacterial small subunit ribosomal RNA
Source: RNAcentral
GACGAACGCUGGCGGCGUGCUUAACACAUGCAAGUCGAACGGAAAGGCCCUGCUUUUGUGGGGUGCUCGAGUGGCGAACGGGUGAGUAACAAGUGAGUAACCUGCCCUUGACUUUGGGAUAACUUCAGGAAACUGGGGCUAAUACCGGAUAGGAGCUCCUGCUGCCUGGUGGGGGUUGGAAAGUUUCGGCGGUUGGGGAUGGACUCGCGGCUUAUCAGCUUGUUGGUGGGGUAGUGGCUUACCAAGGCUUUGACGGGUAGCCGGCCUGAGAGGGUGACCGGCCACAUUGGGACUGAGAUACGGCCCAGACUCCUACGGGAGGCAGCAGUGGGGAAUAUUGCACAAUGGGCGGAAGCCUGAUGCAGCAACGCCGCGUGCGGGAUGACGGCCUUCGGGUUGUAAACCGCUUUCGCCUGUGACGAAGCGUGAGUGACGGUAAUGGGUAAAGAAGCACCGGCUAACUACGUG